This 62-nucleotide microRNA precursor is filed under the name Triops cancriformis. Its description in RNAcentral is "microRNA tcf-mir-92a precursor". Its record names the gene tcf-mir-92a. Lineage: Eukaryota; Metazoa; Arthropoda; Branchiopoda; Notostraca; Triopsidae. The record is from miRBase by way of RNAcentral.
AGACUGCGACUUGGGCAAUGUUCUGUCGUCUUAAGAGUAAUAUUGCACUCGUCCCGGCCUGU